UGCAUACUCCCUCUAUCCGAAAAUACUUGUCAUCAAAAUGAAUAAAAAAAAGAUGUAUCUAAGACUAAAAUACGUCUAGAUAGAUUCUCUUUUAUUUAUUUUGAUGACAAGUAUUUCCGGACGAAGGGGGUACAUG
This is a non-coding RNA of Triticum aestivum (bread wheat), 136 nucleotides long. NCBI's taxonomy places the organism in Eukaryota, Viridiplantae, Streptophyta, Magnoliopsida, Poales, Poaceae. The record is from Rfam.